This is a long non-coding RNA of Hirundo rustica (Barn swallow), 1413 nucleotides long. RefSeq lists it as uncharacterized. The record is from RefSeq and is a predicted model, not a curated record. NCBI's taxonomy places the organism in Eukaryota, Metazoa, Chordata, Aves, Passeriformes, Hirundinidae. The transcript has 3 exons.
AGUGGGAGCUCCCACUGUCUUCUGUCAGAGUGCUCCCUUGUGCAGCUUUGUUUAGCCAACAUCUUCAGGAGGAUUCAGCACCAGCGGGUGCUGCAGAGCACUGGGAAGCUUCAACGACCUGGAGGAUAUUCAGCUUCAACAGGAGAUGUACACAAAGCUGAAGUAAUAAAGCCUUUCCAGAAGCUUUAAUAUGGAACCUAGUGACUGAGCAAGAUUUUAGCAGUGCUUCUAUAUUCAUAGGCCUGAGCAGGAAGGAUUCACGACAAUUCUGCCAAAGUUAAAGUGAAGCGAGAAAGGAAAUCAACAGCUGAUAAUCCACAGGCAAUCAAAUCAAAUAUUUCUUGGAUCAAAACCAUGAAUUGGGAAUGAGCAGAGGUGUAGCGACUUCAAUUCUGUGGAUUUUUCCCUCACGAUUUUACAUCCAUUUUCGUGUAAAAUGGAUCCGGUGUCCUCUUCCUUCACUUGAUGUUUGGCUUUUUCAAAUAACAGAGUCACAGCAGCAAAAUUUAACUUAAUUUAUUUAGAACUUCAAAACCAAAGUGGGAUUUCCUCAUAAGAUGCCAUCAUUUCCAUGAGAUGGAAACAUGUUAACACUACUGGAACAGUGAAUUUUUAUGUUUCUUUCUAAGGAAAGAUCAUUCCACAAGUCAGUUUCUGUACAGUUCUCCACAAUGUUUAUGUUGAAUUUGCAGAAAUUUGCCCUUGAUUUGCAGAAAGAUCUUCCUAAAACUUUCACUUAAGAAAGCUCAGUUUGCUUCAACAUUUAACAGUUUAGCAACUUUCUGGGGAAAAAAAAAAAAAAAAAAAAAAAAGCUUCCAGAAGAGGAAAACGCUUCUAAAAACUACCUGGGCAAAUUUAAACAAGGAUGAAUCCAAUAAAAAUGCAGGAAAAGGAUAAUUUCCUCAUUCAAAGAAGACUUAUUUUCUAUGUUAUGUAUUUGUUUAUUUGCUUUCAGUCUUGAAAGAAAUAUUUCUACAAGUUUAAGAGCACAUUUUGACUAUUCAAAAUCUCCUCCUAUUUCAAUGUUGUGUUUGCCAGGCAUAAAAGCCUGUUAGACAUUCAUAUAACAGAUUAACUGUAAAGUACUGGAUAAACCCACUCAGUGUUUUCAAAUAUAUCAUUAAAAGAAUGGUUUCUGGGAGGAGAAAAAAAUGAAAACCCUACAGAUUUCUAAAGCUUUCCUGCCUUUAGGUAAUAAGGAAGGGGGGAAAAAAAAGAAAGAAAAAGAACAGUUGCAAGUCAAAGCAGGUAACUUUUCACUGGAAGAGAAUUUCAAUACUUAAUUGUAAUUUCUAUCAACAGAGAAAACUCAUAAUCAUUCUUAUCACCUAAAAUAGCUUGUUAAACAUGAAAAAAGCUUAUUGCUGAAACAGGCUGGAAUCAUAUCUGGGCAGGAAUCAUAAGCAGAAACG